RNAcentral lists this ribosomal RNA (497 nucleotides) under uncultured bacterium. RNAcentral describes it as "partial 16S ribosomal RNA". It matches the Rfam family "Bacterial small subunit ribosomal RNA", at positions 28 to 507 of the family's 1533-position model. The record is from RNAcentral.
GAUGAACGCUGGCGGCGUGCCUAAUACAUGCAAGUCGAGCGAACAGACGAGGAGCUUGCUCCUCUGACGUUAGCGGCGGACGGGUGAGUAACACGUGGAUAACCUACCUAUAAGACUGGGAUAACUUCGGGAAACCGGAGCUAAUACCGGAUAAUAUAUUGAACCGCAUGGUUCAAUAGUGAAAGACGGUUUUGCUGUCACUUAUAGAUGGAUCCGCGCCGCGUUAGCUAGUUGGUAAGGUAACGGCUUACCAAGGCGACGAUGCGUAGCCGACCUGAGAGGGUGAGCGACCAAACUAGAAAAGAAACACGGACCAGACUCCGACGGGAGGCAGCGGAAGGGAAUCUUGCGCAAAGGGCGAAGGCCAGAAGGAGAAACGACGCGUGAGGGAUAAAGGUCUUGGGAUCAAAAACCUGUUUUAUGGGGAAAAAACAAAUGUAAAAGAAAAAGUCCCCUUCGUGAGGGUACCUAAAAAAAAAGCCAGGGCAAACUACGGG